RNAcentral lists this transfer RNA (72 nucleotides) under Bos taurus (domestic cattle). It matches the Rfam family "tRNA". From Rfam's summary of the family: Transfer RNA (tRNA) molecules are approximately 80 nucleotides in length. Their secondary structure includes four short double-helical elements and three loops (D, anti-codon, and T loops). Lineage: Eukaryota; Metazoa; Chordata; Mammalia; Artiodactyla; Bovidae. RNAcentral also lists the same sequence under 2 other names. The record is from Rfam by way of RNAcentral.
UCCCUGGUGGCUUAGAGGGUAAAGAAUCUGCCUGUAAUGCAGGAGACUCGAGUUCGAUCCUGGGUCAGGAAG